RNAcentral lists this ribosomal RNA (879 nucleotides) under uncultured bacterium. RNAcentral describes it as "bacterial SSU rRNA". It matches the Rfam family "Bacterial small subunit ribosomal RNA", at positions 9 to 916 of the family's 1533-position model. The record is from RNAcentral.
GAGUUUGGAUCCUGGCUCAGGAUGAACGCUGGCGGCGUGCCUAACACAUGCAAGUCGAGCGAUUUACUUCGGUAAAGAGCGGCGGACGGGUGAGUAACGCGUGGGUAACCUGCCCUGUACACACGGAUAACAUACCGAAAGGUAUGCUAAUACGGGAUAAUGUACUUUUGUCGCAUGGCAGAAGUAUCAAAGCUCCCGCGGUACAGGAUGGACCCGCGUCUGAUUAGCUAGUUGGAGAGGUAAUGGCUCACCAAGGCAACGAUCAGUAGCCGACCUGAGAGGGUGAUCGGCCACAUUGGAACUGAGACACGGUCCAAACUCCUACGGGAGGCAGCAGUGGGGAAUAUUGCACAAUGGGCGAAAGCCUGAUGCAGCAACGCCGCGUGAGCGAUGAAGGCCUUCGGGUCGUAAAGCUCUGUCCUCAAGGAAGAUAAUGACGGUACUUGAGGAGGAAGCCCCGGCUAACUACGUGCCAGCAGCCGCGGUAAUACGUAGGGGGCUAGCGUUAUCCGGAAUUACUGGGCGUAAAGGGUGCGUAGGUGGUUUCUUAAGUCAGAGGUGAAAGGCUACGGCUCAACCGUAGUAAGCCUUUGAAACUGAGAAACUUGAGUGCAGGAGAGGAGAGUAGAAUUCCUAGUGUAGCGGUGAAAUGCGUAGAUAUUAGGAGGAAUACCAGUUGCGAAGGCGGCUCUCUGGACUGUAACUGACACUGAGGCACGAAAGCGUGGGGAGCAAACAGGAUUAGAUACCCUGGUAGUCCACGCCGUGAACGAUGAGUACUAGGUGUCGGGGGUUACCCCCCUCGGUGCCGCAGCUAACGCAUUAAGUACUCCGCCUGGGAAGUACGCUCGCAAGAGUGAAACUCAAAGGAAUUGACGG